GACGAACGCUGGCGGCAUGCCUAACACAUGCAAGUCGAACGAUUGCCUUCGGGUGAUAGUGGCGCACGGGUGCGUAACGCGUGGGAAUCUGCCCUUAGGGUCGGAAUAACAGCUGGAAACGGCUGCUAAUACCGGAUGAUAUCGCGAGAUCAAAGAUUUAUCGCCUGAGGAUGAGCCCGCGUUGGAUUAGGUAGUUGGUGGGGUAAAGGCCUACCAAGCCGACGAUCCAUAGCUGGUCUGAGAGGAUGAUCAGCCACACUGGGACUGAGACACGGCCCAGACUCCUACGGGAGGCAGCAGUGGGGAAUAUUGGACAAUGGGCGCAAGCCUGAUCCAGCAAUGCCGCGUGAGUGAUGAAGGCCCUAGGGUUGUAAAGCUCUUUUACCCGGGAAGAUAAUGACUGUACCGGGAGAAUAAGCCCCGGCUAACUCCGUG
This 435-nucleotide ribosomal RNA is filed under the name uncultured bacterium. RNAcentral's name for it is "partial 16S ribosomal RNA". It matches the Rfam family "Bacterial small subunit ribosomal RNA", at positions 28 to 507 of the family's 1533-position model. The record is from RNAcentral.